RNAcentral lists this ribosomal RNA (312 nucleotides) under Bacillus sp. Sd2Re-10. RNAcentral's name for it is "bacterial SSU rRNA". It matches the Rfam family "Bacterial small subunit ribosomal RNA", at positions 171 to 479 of the family's 1533-position model. Lineage: Bacteria; Bacillati; Bacillota; Bacilli; Caryophanales; Bacillaceae. The record is from RNAcentral.
GGAUGCUUGUUUGAACCGCAUGGUUCAAACAUAAAAGGUGGCUUCGGCUACCACUUACAGAUGGACCCGCGGCGCAUUAGCUAGUUGGUGAGGUAACGGCUCACCAAGGCAACGAUGCGUAGCCGACCUGAGAGGGUGAUCGGCCACACUGGGACUGAGACACGGCCCAGACUCCUACGGGAGGCAGCAGUAGGGAAUCUUCCGCAAUGGACGAAAGUCUGACGGAGCAACGCCGCGUGAGUGAUGAAGGUUUUCGGAUCGUAAAGCUCUGUUGUUAGGGAAGAACAAGUACCGUUCGAAUAGGGCGGUACC